Molecule: small nuclear RNA, 108 nt
Organism: Bicyclus anynana (squinting bush brown)
Lineage: Eukaryota; Metazoa; Arthropoda; Insecta; Lepidoptera; Nymphalidae
Source: RefSeq, a predicted model, not a curated record
GUAUAUGCUUUGGCAUUACAUAUACUAAAAUUGGAACGAUACAGAGAAGAUUAGCAUGGCCCCUGCACAAGGAUGAUACGGCCCUUCAGUGACUUCUGUGGUAGCUUC